Molecule: ribosomal RNA, 389 nt
Filed under: uncultured bacterium
Lineage: Bacteria
Description: bacterial SSU rRNA
Rfam family: Bacterial small subunit ribosomal RNA
Source: RNAcentral
AUUGAACGCUGGCGGCAUGCCUUACACAUGCAAGUCGAACGGUAACGCGGGGCAACCUGGCGACGAGUGGCGAACGGGUGAGUAAUAUAUCGGAACGUGCCCAAUAGUGGGGGAUAGCCCGGCGAAAGCCGGAUUAAUACCGCAUACGACCUGAGGGUGAAAGCGGGGGAUCGCAAGACCUCGCGCUAUUGGAGCGGCCGAUAUCAGAUUAGGUAGUUGGUGGGGUAAAAGCCUACCAAGCCUACGAUCUGUAGCUGGUCUGAGAGGACGACCAGCCACACUGGGGCUGAGACACGGCCCAGACUCCUACGGGAGGCAGCAGUGGGGAAUUUUGGACAAUGGGCGCAAGCCUGAUCCAGCCAUGCCGCGUGCGGGAAGAAGGCCUUCGG